GAAGGAAUUUUACAGAAGCUACAGAGAAGUGUUGAGCAAGAAGAAAAUAAAUGAAAAGUUAAGGUCGAUGAAUCACACACGACUAUUAAACAGAUGCAGUCAUCAUUUACAUCUUCAGAACAAGAGCUAGAGCGAUUAAGAAGAGAAAAUAAGGAUAUUGAAAAUCUGAGAAGAGAACGAGAACAUUUGGAAAUGGAACUAGAGAAGGCAGAGAUGGAAUGAUCUACCUAUGUUACAGAAGUCAGAGAGUUGAAGGCACAGUUAAAUGAAACACUCACAAAACUUAGAACCAAACAAAAUGAAAGACAGAAGGUAGCUGGUGAUUUGCAUAAGGCUCAACAGUCACUGGAGCUUAUCCGGUCAAAAAUAGUAAAAGCUGCUGGGGACACUACUGUUAUUGAAAAUAGUGAUGUUUCCCCAGAAACGGAGUCUUCUGAGAAGGAGACAAUGUCUGUAAGUCUAAAUCAGACUGUAACACAGUUACAGCAGUUGCUUCAGGCAGUAAACCAACAGCUCACAAAGGAGAAAGAGCACUACCAGGUGUUAGAGUGAAGUAAUUGAGAAACUGUUCAUUUGAGGAUAAAAAAGGCAUUGUAUUAUAUUUUGCCAGAUUAAAGCCUUAUUUAUGUUUUCACCCUUUCUACUUUGUCAGAAACACUGAACAGAGUUUUGUCUUUUCUAAUCCUUGUUAGACUACUGAUUUAAAGAAAGAAAGAAAAAAAGCCAACUCUGUAGACACCUUCAGUUUAGUUUUAUAAUAAAAACUGUUUGAAUAAUUAGACCUUUACAUUCCUGAAGAUAAACAUGUAAUCUUUUAUCGUAUUUUGCUCAAUAAAAUUGUUCAGAAGA
RNA transcript from Nomascus leucogenys (northern white-cheeked gibbon), 849 nucleotides. It is a transcript of the gene named kinectin-like, with no coding region annotated. The record is from RefSeq and is a predicted model, not a curated record. NCBI's taxonomy places the organism in Eukaryota, Metazoa, Chordata, Mammalia, Primates, Hylobatidae. The transcript has a single exon.